CUCAUACCGGGCCUUCAGGGCCACCACGGACCCAGGGCUGCUCUGGAGACUUCCCAAUGACUUACUCCGGCUCAAAUUGCUUCCGGUCUGAAAUCGUACCCUCUCAUCACUUCUCCUGAUCAGAUGCUCCAGAUUUCGACGGGCUGAGGUUUAGUGGUGCCGGAAACGCCAACGAGGAACAAGUGUUGUGGAAGCUCGUCUCCGCCCUGGAAUUCCAGAACGCGCGGAGCCUCGGGGGUCGAGCCGGAGCAGGAGGCGCCUUUCUGACCUCGCUGACAACAUGGUCACUCAAUAUUAACAACAGGCCAAUGGGAACUAUCAGCUCAUCCUUUGACCCCGCUUGACCGUCGCUGCUGCUCGGACCUGUUUUUGGGUGCGGGCGACACGCGCACGCGGCGCGCGGACGUCACAGGGCCGGCAGUCAUGGGUUUGGUCUGUGAGGGAGGACACGGCACGCAUCGUGACACAGAGGGCUGACUCAGCGCUGAUGCGCGUGUGCGUGUGAUUCACGCCGCCGCCGCCGCCGCUGGUGACGCUGCCCAACGUGGAACCGAGACAAGGUCAGGUCCUCUGUCCGUGUUGGUGAAUCCCUCCACUGAUCGCUGCUGGGCAGCGGAACGAGAGGACGCAAACCUAAAAGGAGCGAGAUGAACGCGUACGUACAGUAUUUAUCCUUCAGCUGACUUCACUUAUCAGAGGGGCGGCUGGAAAGAAGCCAAACAAACUUGGGGAAAGAGAGAAGCAGUGGUGCCGAGAUUACAGCGUAUUACACAAUCUGGUGUAUUUGACUGUAGUACCUGUAGUACCCGUAGUACAGUGGUCAUAGAAGCUGUUGUGUGGCUGCUGAAGUUUUGAUGCUAAUUAACUGUAGCAGUUUGCUCUGGAUACAUCACAGUGAAGAGUUUUACUUUACUCUUACUUUUACUUCAGUUGCAUGAUGGAAACUGCUUAGUGGGAGUUUAUGAGUCUAUGUGUGAUUAGGAAAGCGUGUCCUCUCCAGUGCUAAAGUCCAGGCACAUGCUGGCGGCUUCUCCCAACACAUGGCUGUGAUUUGCUCGUCCCUCUCUCCUGUGCGGAACGCUGAGCGUCCGUAUGUUCCGCCCGCAUCUGCAGGUGUGUGUGUGCGUGUGCGUGUGUGUGUGCGGGGGGAAACGUGCGUCCCUCGCAGCUGAGUGGGAGUGCCUUUGACCUAAGCCGUCCCCUCCCCGCUCCAUUUGAGUCUGCGCACGCCCCGCCCGCGUCGCCGCGCC
Betta splendens (Siamese fighting fish) is the source of this 1250-nucleotide long non-coding RNA. RefSeq lists it as uncharacterized. The record is from RefSeq and is a predicted model, not a curated record. NCBI's taxonomy places the organism in Eukaryota, Metazoa, Chordata, Actinopteri, Anabantiformes, Osphronemidae. The transcript has 4 exons.